This 446-nucleotide ribosomal RNA is filed under the name uncultured Prevotella sp. Its description in RNAcentral is "bacterial SSU rRNA". It matches the Rfam family "Bacterial small subunit ribosomal RNA", at positions 70 to 508 of the family's 1533-position model. Lineage: Bacteria; Pseudomonadati; Bacteroidota; Bacteroidia; Bacteroidales; Prevotellaceae. The record is from RNAcentral.
ACAUUUAGUGCUUGCACCGAAUGGACGUCGACCGGCGCACGGGUGAGUAACGCGUAUCCAACCUACCCAUUACUGUGGGAUAACCUGCCGAAAGGCAGACUAAUACCGCAUAGUCUUCGAUGACGGCAUCAKAUUUGAAGUAAAGAUUUAUCGGUAAUGGACGGGGAUGCGUCUGAUUAGCUUGYUGGCGGGGUAACGGCCCACCAAGGCAACGAUCAGUAAGGGUUCUGAGAGGAAGGUCCCCCACAUUGGAACUGAGACACGGUCCAAACUCCUACGGGAGGCAGCAGUGAGGAAUAUUGGUCAAUGGGCGCGAGCCUGAACCAGCCAAGUAGCGUGCAGGAUGACGGCCCUAUGGGUUGUAAACUGCUUUUGUAUGGGGAUAAAGUCAAUCACGUGUGAUUGUUUGCAGGUACCAUACGAAUAAGGACCGGCUAAUUCCGUGC